This 303-nucleotide ribosomal RNA is filed under the name uncultured bacterium. RNAcentral describes it as "bacterial SSU rRNA". It matches the Rfam family "Bacterial small subunit ribosomal RNA", at positions 184 to 507 of the family's 1533-position model. The record is from RNAcentral.
UAGCACAAGCCAGAGCAAGGAAAGAUUAUCGCUUUGGGAGGGGCUCGCGGCCUAUCAGCUUGUUGGUGAGGUAACGGCUCACCAAGGCUUCGACGGGUAGCUGGUCUGAGAGGACGAUCAGCCACACUGGGACUGAGACACGGCCCAGACUCCUACGGGAGGCAGCAGUGGGGAAUAUUGCGCAAUGGGCGAAAGCCUGACGCAGCAACGCCGCGUGGAGGAUGAAGGCUCUAGGGUCGUAAACUCCUUUCAGCAGGAAAGAAAAUGACGGUACCUGCAGAAGAAGCUCCGGCCAACUACGUG